Molecule: ribosomal RNA, 500 nt
Filed under: uncultured soil bacterium
Lineage: Bacteria
Description: bacterial SSU rRNA
Rfam family: Bacterial small subunit ribosomal RNA
Source: RNAcentral
AGAACGAACGCUGGCGGCGUGGAUAAGACAUGCAAGUCGAACGGGAUUACUUUUGUAGCAAUACAGAAGUAAUUUAGUGGCGAACGGGUGCGUAACACGUGGGCAAUCUGCCGAAAAGUGGGGGAUAGCUCGCCGAAAGGCGAAUUAAUACCGCAUGUGGUGAGGGACGACAUCUUCCUGAAUCCAAAGCCGGGGUAACCUGGCGCUUUUUGAGGAGCCCGCGGCCUAUCAGCUAGUUGGUGAGGUAACGGCUCACCAAGGCUAUGACGGGUAGCUGGUCUGAGAGGACGACCAGUCACACUGGAACUGAGACACGGUCCAGACACCUACGGGUGGCAGCAGUCGAGAAUUUUUCUCAAGUGGGGGAAACCCUGAAGGAGCGACGCCGCGUGGAGGAUGAAGGCUUUCGGGUUGUAAACUCCUGUCAUUUGAGAACAAGGUGCGUAGUAUUAACUGUGCUCGCAUUGAUAGUAUCAAGAAGAGGAAGGACGGACUAACUC